Molecule: ribosomal RNA, 2275 nt
Filed under: Staphylococcus aureus
Lineage: Bacteria; Bacillati; Bacillota; Bacilli; Caryophanales; Staphylococcaceae
Description: bacterial LSU rRNA
Rfam family: Bacterial large subunit ribosomal RNA
Source: RNAcentral
UUAAGUUAUUAAGGGCGCACGGUGGAUGCCUUGGCACUAGAAGCCGAUGAAGGACGUUACUAACGACGAUAUGCUUUGGGGAGCUGUAAGUAAGCUUUGAUCCAGAGAUUUCCGAAUGGGGAAACCCAGCAUGAGUUAUGUCAUGUUAUCGAUAUGUGAAUACAUAGCAUAUCAGAAGGCACACCCGGAGAACUGAAACAUCUUAGUACCCGGAGGAAGAGAAAGAAAAUUCGAUUCCCUUAGUAGCGGCGAGCGAAACGGGAAGAGCCCAAACCAACAAGCUUGCUUGUUGGGGUUGUAGGACACUCUAUACGGAGUUACAAAGGACGACAUUAGACGAAUCAUCUGGAAAGAUGAAUCAAAGAAGGUAAUAAUCCUGUAGUCGAAAAUGUUGUCUCUCUUGAGUGGAUCCUGAGUACGACGGAGCACGUGAAAUUCCGUCGGAAUCUGGGAGGACCAUCUCCUAAGGCUAAAUACUCUCUAGUGACCGAUAGUGAACCAGUACCGUGAGGGAAAGGUGAAAAGCACCCCGGAAGGGGAGUGAAAUAGAACCUGAAACCGUGUGCUUACAAGUAGUCAGAGCCCGUUAAUGGGUGAUGGCGUGCCUUUUGUAGAAUGAACCGGCGAGUUACGAUUUGAUGCAAGGUUAAGCAGUAAAUGUGGAGCCGUAGCGAAAGCGAGUCUGAAUAGGGCGUUUAGUAUUUGGUCGUAGACCCGAAACCAGGUGAUCUACCCUUGGUCAGGUUGAAGUUCAGGUAACACUGAAUGGAGGACCGAACCGACUUACGUUGAAAAGUGAGCGGAUGAACUGAGGGUAGCGGAGAAAUUCCAAUCGAACCUGGAGAUAGCUGGUUCUCUCCGAAAUAGCUUUAGGGCUAGCCUCAAGUGAUGAUUAUUGGAGGUAGAGCACUGUUUGGACGAGGGGCCCCUCUCGGGUUACCGAAUUCAGACAAACUCCGAAUGCCAAUUAAUUUAACUUGGGAGUCAGAACAUGGGUGAUAAGGUCCGUGUUCGAAAGGGAAACAGCCCAGACCACCAGCUAAGGUCCCAAAAUAUAUGUUAAGUGGAAAAGGAUGUGGCGUUGCCCAGACAACUAGGAUGUUGGCUUAGAAGCAGCCAUCAUUUAAAGAGUGCGUAAUAGCUCACUAGUCGAGUGACACUGCGCCGAAAAUGUACCGGGGCUAAACAUAUUACCGAAGCUGUGGAUUGUCCUUUGGACAAUGGUAGGAGAGCGUUCUAAGGGCGUUGAAGCAUGAUCGUAAGGACAUGUGGAGCGCUUAGAAGUGAGAAUGCCGGUGUGAGUAGCGAAAGACGGGUGAGAAUCCCGUCCACCGAUUGACUAAGGUUUCCAGAGGAAGGCUCGUCCGCUCUGGGUUAGUCGGGUCCUAAGCUGAGGCCGACAGGCGUAGGCGAUGGAUAACAGGUUGAUAUUCCUGUACCACCUAUAAUCGUUUUAAUCGAUGGGGGGACGCAGUAGGAUAGGCGAAGCGUGCGAUUGGAUUGCACGUCUAAGCAGUAAGGCUGAGUAUUAGGCAAAUCCGGUACUCAUUAAGGCUGAGCUGUGAUGGGGAGAAGACAUUGUGUCUUCGAGUCGUUGAUUUCACACUGCCGAGAAAAGCCUCUAGAUAGAAAAUAGGUGCCCGUACCGCAAACCGACACAGGUAGUCAAGAUGAGAAUUCUAAGGUGAGCGAGCGAACUCUCGUUAAGGAACUCGGCAAAAUGACCCCGUAACUUCGGGAGAAGGGGUGCUCUUUAGGGUUAACGCCCAGAAGAGCCGCAGUGAAUAGGCCCAAGCGACUGUUUAUCAAAAACACAGGUCUCUGCUAAACCGUAAGGUGAUGUAUAGGGGCUGACGCCUGCCCGGUGCUGGAAGGUUAAGAGGAGUGGUUAGCUUCUGCGAAGCUACGAAUCGAAGCCCCAGUAAACGGCGGCCGUAACUAUAACGGUCCUAAGGUAGCGAAAUUCCUUGUCGGGUAAGUUCCGACCCGCACGAAAGGCGUAACGAUUUGGGCACUGUCUCAACGAGAGACUCGGUGAAAUCAUAGUACCUGUGAAGAUGCAGGUUACCCGCGACAGGACGGAAAGACCCCGUGGAGCUUUACUGUAGCCUGAUAUUGAAAUUCGGCACAGCUUGUACAGGAUAGGUAGGAGCCUUUGAAACGUGAGCGCUAGCUUACGUGGAGGCGCUGGUGGCGGUACAAGCGAACACUUUGCCCCACUCUUUGAAAAAGCUGGUGCAAUCGUUAUAGACAAUUCAAGUCAAUGGCGUAUGGC